UACGGAGGGGGCUAGCGUUGUUCGGAAUUACUGGGCGUAAAGCGCACGUAGGCGGCUUUGCAAGUUAGAGGUGAAAGCCCGGGGCUCAACUCCGGAAUUGCCUUUAAAACUGCAUCGCUAGAAUUGUGGAGAGGUAAGUGGAAUUCCGAGUGUAGAGGUGAAAUUCGUAGAUAUUCGGAAGAACACCAGUGGCGAAGGCGCCUUGCUGGCCGAUUUCUGACGCUGAGGCGCGAAAGCGUGGGGAGCAAACAGG
This 253-nucleotide ribosomal RNA is filed under the name uncultured bacterium. RNAcentral's name for it is "partial 16S ribosomal RNA". It matches the Rfam family "Bacterial small subunit ribosomal RNA", at positions 524 to 776 of the family's 1533-position model. The record is from RNAcentral.